GGAACAUAACCUCAAAGUUUAAACAUCCAGAUGUAUUUGACGUAAUCGAACAUGUGGUGGCUUUAAAUUAUACUACGGUCGUGAAACAAUUAUGGAACCCAUGCUCUUGGAGGAGUAUAAAUAUGGACACGCGCCCAGGAGUAUUGUUAACAUUUUGGAGUUUUUUAACCGAAAUAAAUUGCCAUCUGAUAAAAACGAUAUUAUUGUGGGAUUUCUCUAUGUUUUAAUGCUUGAAUGUGGAUUUGUCGAAAUGAACUGUACGGACAUACUCCAGGAUGAUUGCAAUUUUAACUACAAGAGACUGCUCCAACAUUCUAAAACACUUCCUGAAGCUUGGAAGAGAGACAGUCGUUAUCAGUUAAAUUUUAUUUUGAAAUCAAGUCCUCAGCUGGUGUGUAGACUCACUUGCAUGUCGGUGUCCGACGAUCUUUUGGUUAAUUGUACAAUAAAAGAUGUAGACAAUUUCAGCUUUCUUGCCGAUCCUUUAAUGUAUUUCAUAACGUCAAAAGUACAGUUUAAUGAAUUUCAUUUUCAAAAUUUGGAUCAUUUGUCUCGUAGUUUUAAAGACUCGGUGGCUUUUCCUGCAAAAGUCGCUGUUAUUGAAUCAACUGGAGGAAUAUGCACUUGUUUACAACAUUUGCCUUACGAAAUUCUUAUUAGAAUUAUGUCUUAUUUGAACAUUUCUGAUGUAAUGAAUUUAGCUAGAACGAGUACAAGUUUGUGUCAAGUAGCACAAGACUCUGCAUUAUGGGUUAAACUCCUUGCUUCCGAUUUAAAAAAGAAGAAUAUUGUUAAAACCUACGAAGAGUUAAAGUUCUUGUACCAAAUUAAGUACGCUAGAGAAUUAACUAAAAUGAUGAACUAGGGACUUAAGUUGUUUAUAAUUUUGUAACCAAUUUGUUAUCUCAUAAAAAUACAUGUUUAGAGAAAA
Molecule: long non-coding RNA, 931 nt
Organism: Tribolium castaneum (red flour beetle)
Lineage: Eukaryota; Metazoa; Arthropoda; Insecta; Coleoptera; Tenebrionidae
Exons: 2
Source: RefSeq, a predicted model, not a curated record